AUUGAACGCUGGCGGCAUGCCUUACACAUGCAAGUCGAACGGUAACAGGUUAAGCUGACGAGUGGCGAACGGGUGAGUAAUAUAUCGGAACGUGCCCAGUCGUGGGGGAUAACGUAGCGAAAGCUACGCUAAUACCGCAUACGUUCUACGGAUGAAAGCGGGGGAUCGCAAGACCUCGCGCGAUUGGAGCGGCCGAUAUCAGUUUAGGUUGUUGGUGAGGUAAAAGCUCACCAAGCCUGCGAUCUGUAGCUGGUCUGAGAGGACGACCAGCCACACUGGAACUGAGACACGGUCCAGACUCCUACGGGAGGCAGCAGUGGGGAAUUUUGGACAAUGGACGCAAGUCUGAUCCAGCAAUGCCGCGUGCAGGACGAAGGCCUUCGGGUUGUAAACUGCUUUUGUACGGAACGAAACGGUGAGCUCUAAUACAGUUUGCUAAUGACGGUACCGUAAGAAUAAGCACCGGCUAACUACGUGCCAGCAGCCGCCGCCG
Molecule: ribosomal RNA, 493 nt
Filed under: uncultured bacterium
Lineage: Bacteria
Description: partial 16S ribosomal RNA
Rfam family: Bacterial small subunit ribosomal RNA
Source: RNAcentral